AGUACCCCUUCGCACGGAGGACGCGAUGGCUCCCAAGAAACGCCCAGAAACCCAGAAGACCUCCGAGAUUGUAUUACGCCCCAGGAACAUGAGGAGCAGGAGUCCCCGGGAGCUGGAGCCCGAGGCCAAGAAGCUCUGUGCGAAGGGCUCCGGUACUGCCUGUGCCUGCUGCUUGAAUAUUUCCGCCUUUUGGGGUGCUCGCGCAGGAGGCUGCAGCGGGGGAUGGGUGCUCCGAGGCUCCCGAGGCCCGCGCAGGUCACGGAUGCCUCCGGCUGUGCAUUCUACCUGCAGGUCCUUUGACACCAGAGUGUUUAGGUUUCAACACCUCUCCCGCUAGGUAACAGGAAGCAGAUGAGCUCCGUAACAACAGACACACGGACUUGUCAGAUUCCUUGUUUGUAUCAGGGUUCUUGCACAGUUAGGACGGUUUCAGAGAAUCCUACCUUUCCUGGCGCUGUGUGUGCUGGAUUUCAUAGUCACGCUUGUUAGCUGCACGUCCUCGGUGGUCAGUUGUGAGAGCCCCCAAUUCCUUCCCUCCUUAGAAAGCUCAUUCUCUGAGGUUUGUUGGGGCUUGAACCUGGGGCUAUAAGGAGUUUCGAGACAUUCAAAAACUGGAGCUGGGGCUUGUUAAUCAAGUGGUUUUUGUCCGUGAGAAGAAAGAAUUGGUUGUCAAGACGUCGGACCUAUAGUGAUUGGGUCCUCAAAUACAGUUUGGUGAUCCGGAGUUGUUGCUUUAUUGCUAUUCUAAUUUCACUUACCUCCGCAGAAGUAACCUAGUUAAGAGCAUUUCCAGGCCUUCCUAUUCCUUCUUUUCCUAAACGGUGACUUCUGCCAUGCUGCCCUAAAAUCUUUUUAUUGUGCAUUAUAUGUGAUUUAUAAAAUUGUGACCCAGUCCCAUCUCGAGUUUUGCAGCCCAAACUGGGAAGAGUUCUGCAGUGUACUUUAUUCUUGUGUGUUUCUUUGGCUGGGGUCUCAGGAACCCUGCACGAUUGUAUUUACUUUCACUUAAGACUUACCGUUUGUGGAAGUGUUUUGGGGAAGGGGCCAAAUCCCCACUCAUUUUUUUAUUUCUGGUGCUCGGUGAGACCACACAGACAUGGAAAGGCCGCAGGAGAUGAUGAGACAGAGAUUAACCAUGCUGAAUGAAACAAGGCUUCCUUUCGGGGAAUUCAGCAGAAAAACCUUUCGUGAGAUUGGAGAGGAAAAUAUGUCUGUUCUGCUUGGCAGGUCCUAGCAGAAGAUGUGACUCAGACUGCCUCUGGGCGGGGCUGGCUGGCCCACAGAUCCUGCCACCAUGCCGCAGCAUCGUCAGGACCCUCCACCAGCAUAAGCUGGGCAGAGCUUCCUGGCCAUCUGUCCAGCAGGGGCUCCAGCAGUCCUUUUUGCACACUCUGGAUUCUUACCGGAUAUUACAAAAGGCUGCCCCCUUUGAUAGGAGGGCUACAUCCUUGGCGUGGCACCCGACUCACCCCAGCACCGUGGCUGUGGGUUCCAAAGGGGGAGAUAUCAUGCUCUGGAAUUUUGGCAUCAAGGACAAACCCACCUUCAUCAAAGGGGCAGCCUGGCAUCCUCGCUACAACCUCAUUGUCGUGGGCCGAUACCCAGACCCUAAUUUCAAAAGCUGUACCCCUUAUGAAUUGAGGACGAUCGAUGUGUUCGAUGGAAACUCAGGGAAGAUGAUGUGUCAGCUCUAUGACCCAGAAUCUUCUGGCAUCAGUUCGCUUAAUGAGUUCAAUCCCAUGGGGGACACGCUGGCCUCUGCAAUGGGUUACCACGUUCUCAUCUGGAGCCAGGAGGAAGCCAGGACACGGAAAUGAGAGACACUAAAGAAGGUGUGGGCCAGACAAGGCCUUGUAGCCCACACAUGGGAUCAAGUCCUGCAAGCAGAGGUGGCGAUUUGUUAAAGUGCCAAAAGUAUCCAAGGCUAGGGUUGGAGCAGGGGUGCUGGGACCUGGGGCACUGUGGGACUGGGACACUUCCGUGUUAAUGCUCUGGACUUGCCUCCAGAGACUGCUCCAGAGUUGGUGACACAGCUGCCCCAAGGGCCCCUCUGUAUCUAGCCUGGAACCAAGGUUAUCUUGGAACUAAAUGACUUUUCUCCUCUCAGUGGGUGGUAGCAGAGGGAUCAAGCAGUUCUUUGAUUUGUGCUCACUUUUGAUAUGGCCAAUAAAACCAUACCGACUG
RNAcentral lists this small RNA (2184 nucleotides) under Pongo abelii (Sumatran orangutan). RNAcentral's name for it is "retained intron". Lineage: Eukaryota; Metazoa; Chordata; Mammalia; Primates; Hominidae. The record is from RNAcentral.